Molecule: transfer RNA, 84 nt
Filed under: Vitellaria paradoxa subsp. paradoxa
Lineage: Eukaryota; Viridiplantae; Streptophyta; Magnoliopsida; Ericales; Sapotaceae
Description: transfer RNA-Gly
Rfam family: tRNA (bases 1-57)
About the family: Transfer RNA (tRNA) molecules are approximately 80 nucleotides in length.
Source: RNAcentral
AUGGUAAAAUUUUUUUUUGCCACGGAGAAGACGCGGGUUCGAUUCCCGCUAUCCGCCCCAAUUUUAUUUAAUUAUUUAAUAUGA